Molecule: non-coding RNA, 26 nt
Filed under: Homo sapiens (human)
Lineage: Eukaryota; Metazoa; Chordata; Mammalia; Primates; Hominidae
Source: RNAcentral
CCAACAAUGGAAACAGCAACAGGUGA